Molecule: long non-coding RNA, 802 nt
Filed under: Chinchilla lanigera (long-tailed chinchilla)
Lineage: Eukaryota; Metazoa; Chordata; Mammalia; Rodentia; Chinchillidae
Description: lncRNA (ENSCLAG00000026479.1)
Source: RNAcentral
CACGGAAACACCGUUUUCUCCGGACAAGUUGUUAGAGCUCUUCUCGCGCUGCGGGAGGCCGCGUGGCUGCGGGGUCAGCCCUUCGGGCCGGCGCCCCCGGCCGUGCAGGCGCCCGGGAAGCGGCGAGGAGAGUGUGCCCGCCCUCGCGCCGGCGCUGCCCAAGAAACGCCAGCCACAGAGAAGCCCGACACAGCAGGCCUCCCGGAGACGGACGCGAACCGUCCCGACGUGGAGCAACCUCCGGGAAAACGUGCGCACGGCGGGGCGCUCUUGGCCCUGCCCUUGAGAGCCGGCAGGUCCGGAGUCAGCGGAGGAGCAGCCGAUGAACAAGGACUCGGAGAGCACGAGGGUACCGACGCCCAACGGCUCAGAGGUCCAGCUGACUGGGGACGCGGGAACUGUUCCGGCGCUGGAGACCAGGAGCACCUUGCGCAACACCCGGGGAGACCCCUGGAGGCCAUUCUCUCCCUACCUGUGCAGGCUGCGGUGGAGGAGUGCCUGGAGCUCCGGAGAGGUCUGCACCGAGACCCCAUGGAUUGCGUGGGUGCCCAAUAUUCAGAUUCUGAAGAACCGCCUUCAUGGAGAAGAAACCACUUUGAAGAAACCAAAGUAUAGUACAACAACCACUGAUAAUUUCCUACCAUUUUCAUCUGCAACUCACUAUUAUUUGUCUAUUUGUUUUCCUGAGAAACUAUCUUGAAGAUACCAAUAGGUAAAAUAACAACCGUUGAUAAUGUCCUACCACUGUGUCUGUAAUUCGGUAAAUCCCCCUAUUACUAUGUUAUCCUUCUUUUACUCUUUU